CCUACGGGAGGCAGCAGUGGGGAAUAUUGGGCAAUGGGCGCAAGCCUGACCCAGCAACGCCGCGUGAAGGAAGAAGGCUUUCGGGUUGUAAACUUCUUUUCUCAGGGACGAAGCAAGUGACGGUACCUGAGGAAUAAGCCACGGCUAACUACGUGCCAGCAGCCGCGGGAAUACGUAGGUGGCAAGCGUUAUCCGGAUUUACUGGGUGUAAAGGGCGUGUAGGCGGGAAAGCAAGUCAGAUGUGAAAACCAUGGGCUCAACCUGUGGCCUGCAUUUGAAACUGUUUUUCUUGAGUACUGGAUAGGCAGACGGAAUUCCUAGUGUAGCGGUGAAAUGCGUAGAUAUUAGGAGGAACACCAGUGGUGAAGGCGGUCUGCUGGACAGCAACUGACGCUGAGGCGCGAAAGCGUGGGGAGCAAACAGGAUUAGAUACCCCUGUAGUC
This 443-nucleotide ribosomal RNA is filed under the name uncultured bacterium. RNAcentral's name for it is "partial 16S ribosomal RNA". It matches the Rfam family "Bacterial small subunit ribosomal RNA", at positions 338 to 795 of the family's 1533-position model. The record is from RNAcentral.